Long non-coding RNA from Lolium perenne, 3115 nucleotides. RefSeq lists it as uncharacterized. The record is from RefSeq and is a predicted model, not a curated record. NCBI's taxonomy places the organism in Eukaryota, Viridiplantae, Streptophyta, Magnoliopsida, Poales, Poaceae.
UUUAUUUAUUUAUUCUUUGCUCUAUUAAAAUCUUCAAUGUGAGCGAGCUAAAGUCACAACUUGCAUGCUUAACAUAGUUGAUGAUUUGAAAAAGCUUAUGCAUGGAGUGUGGAGCUUGCAUAUGCGGGCUUGCAGAUCUACUUGCUCUCCUUCUUGGUAUGAACUCCUCUCUAUCUCUCUGACCGUUGCAUGGAGUGAGGAACAGCCUGGUGCUAUUUCUUUUGGAAAAAUGAAGGUUAUUUACAUAGCGGUAUGGAACCUUUUACAUUGUUUACUAGAAACUAUGUGUAACGGCAGUUGAGUUUAUGUAACUUGCAAGAUCUUGAGAGAUCUUCAGUCUAAGCAAUUGAAGAUCAGUAACUACUUUAGCUUUGUGGAUUUGGAGAACACACCAAUUACAUCGACUAGGUAGUAACUACUUUAUCUCUGGAUUUUAUUCGAUUCCCUUUAGUUAGUUUGUUUUUCCAAUACAGCGAUGAUGGCACUAUUAAAUGGGUGAGAAGAUUACCAAUGGCUUUAGAUAAUUUGAUUUCUCAAAAUAAUGAGGAUGCCACUGUUAUCUAAGUGAGUAGAGUACCAUGGCUUUUUAGAUGCAUAUGAUGCUGGCUCUGUUUAGCACAAACAAUCAAAUACAACAUGUACUGAACUUUCUUGGGUUUUUGUGCCUACAUUUGUUGUCUCUGAAGCAUAAAAUGUGACUUUGUCUGAUUUACUCUUAAUUUCAUUUUACGCUGAUUUUCUAAUUAGUGCAGCACUAUCAUGUUUUUUUUAGUUUGUAGAAUCUACCUAACUGCAACGCCAAUCAACGGUAGUAACGAGUUGUCGGUAUAGCUGUUUGCGAUAGGUCAGAAAAUAUGGGUCAUGCUUGUGUGGUGCACAUACUUGGAUUGGAAAACAACUGAAUUAACUAAAAUUGUGUUAGGAUCAUGGUACUAGAUGCUGAUGUUCACUUUCCUCGUGACACAGGAAUAGGAGGGCACUAUCGGUAAAUGCUGUAUCGUCUCCUCGAUGUACUAAUUUUGCAAAUAUCUUCAAAAAGUGGAUGAAUGCAGAGGUUGUCGUAUGGAUAUGAUCUAAAUCUUUAAAUCCAUGUAUGCAUGAUGGUUUACUUAUUUCCAUUUUUACAUUCCUUUAAUUAGGUUACAAGGAUAUUAAAUGGUUUAUGUUGAAAUUAUUGCGAUUCGUUGUCUUCGUCAAGAAAAAAGGAUGGAGUUCUAUGGUAAAUUUCUUAUGGUAUAGGUACAUCUCGAUCAGUACCUAAAUAUUUAGUUUAUUCCAGUUGCUUCAAUGGCAUUUUCAUGCAUCUUCUUUCCCGGGGAUUCUUAUCCUUCCGAAUUUUGUGAAAUUUUACUUUUGUUUUGGUGUGGUAUAUGUAGGAUCUAAGAACAUUCAAUUCAUUUCCUUGAUAAGCAGUUGAUGUAUGUCUCCACAAUCCUUUCAUUUUCCUUCGCUCUAUGCUACCGGAUCAUUCUCCUCCAGUUGAGAACACUGACUUCAUUUCAUUUCCUUGAUAUGCAGAUGUGAUUGGCAGGAUCUUUGCGAUUUCCGAUAUUGUUGUUGCUGCUGAUGGACAUGGGAAGGGAAGAAGAAAAUGGCGAGGGAGGUGGAAGAGGAGACAACGGCUGAACACAGAUCUGCAAUAAUCAGGUUGCGCUUGCAUCUAAAGGGGCGGAGACAAUGGAUGGAACACAAUAUGGAUGCACCACAACGCCAUGAGCCCGACGGCUGAUGAACGAGAGAGGAGGUGGCAUUUGGAGGAUGAGAAGGCAGAGGAGGUGGCAUAUGGAUGGCGAGCAGACGGUGGAGGUGGCACUCCCGCUACCAGCAGCCGGCUUACCCCGCUACAGAAGGUGUAUUCCUUUGAUUUAUCUUCAUGUGAUUUUUUUCGAUGCUCUCUGCCACUUCUCCCCUCGCCACCAGAAGAUGCCAUGAACUAGCGCAGAGCGUAUUCGCAUUGAUUAGUUUGUUAACAUUUCCUUGUUUUUAUGUUAUUUAUUCCACUCUCUUUCUGUUCUGAUUGUCUCAAUUGUUUGAAUAUCGGGUCAGCGACAUUUGUUUUGUUGAAAUUCCUCCUUCAUACCAGUAAUAAUCAUAGAUCUUCCUUUAGAGAGCUUCAUAUGUCUGACGCCCAUGAUCACAUAAUUAGGUACGUUGACUACUUUAUCAAGGUAGUAUACCAUGCUAGGCUGGAACUCACAAACAUAUGGUUACUGCACGACUAUUUUAUCUCUGAGUACAUAUUGGUUUUAAAGCAUUCAUAAGAAUGUUGUGGCUCUUCAAUUUUCUCCAUGGUUUAUUUUUACUAAUAUUAAGAGCUAGCUAUUAUAAUUACUGUUGCACUACAUAGUAUUUUGUUUAUCCUGAUCUGAUCAUACGUUGCACUUCUGAUUGAGUCUACCUUACAUUCUGUGUAUUGAGAUUUGAUACCUCAACAUGAUCACCUUCUUCACAUGUACCUGCAGGAUGCACAGAUUGCCAUCGACUCACUUGGCAUAUGGUAGUGAUCUUGAUUCUGACCUAACUGAAAAUAGUUUGCCACCAUUUUCAGAAUGCUAAUGGCAGCUGCAAUCGACACCGUGUUGUUCUAAACAUAAGACCUGGAAGUAAAUACCUGCAACACGUCUAUGAGUGGUACCUCUGCAGGUCGACCGGUGGCAGGGCUGCCUUCAGAGACGAGACGGCUAACGAGCGAGAGAUGUCACUGAAACCAAUGUUAGUGUGAGACAAGGGGAUGGCUUUUUGCUUACAUGGCUAGCUGACGUGGGAACUUGCUGACUGAUCAGAUGGAUAAGGAUUAUAUAAAUGUAAACCGGUCCGAGAGUCAUGCUGUCAGGCCUAAAACUGGGGAAUAGGGAUCUGAGCAAUCAGAAAUGGACAGACAUGUAUGCCACAAUGCAGGGCAGUGCUGGUCAUACAGGGAGUCCUAGACAAUAAAUCAAAGAGGACGUUGAUGCUGGAUAUAAGCGAGUCACUAUUGUUUAUGACAAGUCACCAGAUGUAUAUCUAUAAUAUCACCACUCUGUAAUAAAGUCUGGGAUGUUUUUCCAUUUGCUGCAAAUUGAUAUUGUGACAUCACAUUGUCAAAUGGUUAAUAUUCAAGAAGAGUUAUUUUUCA